GCGUGCUAAUACAUGCAGUCGAGCGGACAGAAGGGAGCUUGCUCCCGGAUGUUAGCGGCGGACGGGUGAGUAACACGUGGGUAACCUGCCUGUAAGACUGGGAUAACUCCGGGAAACCGGAGCUAAUACCGGAUAGUUCCUUGAACCGCAUGGUUCAAGGAUGAAAGACGGUUUCGGCUGUCACUUACAGAUGGACCCGCGGCGCAUUAGCUAGUUGGUGGGGUAAUGGCUCACCAAGGCGACGAUGCGUAGCCGACCUGAGAGGGUGAUCGGCCACACUGGGACUGAGACACGGCCCAGACUCCUACGGGAGGCAGCAGUAGGGAAUCUUCCGCAAUGGACGAAAGUCUGACGGGGCAACGCCGCGUGAGUGAUGAAGGUUUUCGGAUCGUAAAGCUCUGUUGUUAGGGAAGAACAAGUGCGAGAGUAACUGCUCGCACCUUGACGGUACCUAACCAGAAAGCCACGGCUAACUACGUGCCAGCAGCCGCGGUAAUACGUAGGUGGCAAGCGUUGUCCGGAAUUAUUGCGCGUAAAGGGCUCGCAGGCGGUUUCUUAAGUCUGAUGUGAAAGCCCCCGGCUCAACCGCGGAGGGUCAUUGGAAACUGGGAAACUUGAGUGCAGAAGAGGAGAGUGGACUUCCACGUGUAGCGGUGAAAUGCGUAGAGAUGUGGAGGAACACCAGUGGCGAAGGCGACUCUCUGGUCUGUAACUGACGCUGAGGAGCGAAAGGCGUGGGGAGCGAACAGGAUUAGAUACCCUGGUAGUCCACGCCGUAAACGAUGAGUGCUAGUGUUAGGGGGUUUCCGCCCCUUAGUGCUGCAGCUAACGCUUAAGCACUCCGCCCUGGGGAGUACGGUCGCAAGACUGAAACUCAAAGGAAUUGACGG
This 890-nucleotide ribosomal RNA is filed under the name Bacillus pumilus. RNAcentral's name for it is "bacterial SSU rRNA". It matches the Rfam family "Bacterial small subunit ribosomal RNA", at positions 42 to 916 of the family's 1533-position model. Lineage: Bacteria; Bacillati; Bacillota; Bacilli; Caryophanales; Bacillaceae. The record is from RNAcentral.